AAACAUCAAGUCUAUGUAUGAUCGCAAUCUAUCCAACUCUAGUUUCUAGUUGAUCUCGAUAAGUGGAAUUUUUUACUGGUUAGGUUUAGCUAAUUGAUAUCUUAAAAAAUAUAUUGGAUAAGGUUUUCAACAAAAUAAAAAAAAAGAAAAGGGAUUUCUAAACCUCAUAAAACAAAAAAAUCUACAUACGUAUGCUGGAAUAUGCUAACAUACGUAUGCCUCAGUAACACCGUCACCGAGCUGCGCGUGUGUAAUCCUCAAAGCUGCAUAUGAUAGAUAUCGGGCCCACUUCCCAAACCUAUACAUACUCGACUCCUCCGAGCGAUCAGCACUUCUCCCAUGUUUGCUCAAGAUCUGGCUGCUCGCGUUCGAGCUCGAUCACUUCGCCUCUCUGUUCUAUGAGAAAGAAGGGGGAAAUGGAUGGAAAUCGUCACAUCUGAUAUUUCUGAACCGCAUCCAGGGAAAAGACGAACUCUUUCUGAGACUUGGCCAAGCAAUCAACGAACCAAGGUCGGAGAUCGGGGAUAUCCAACCCAGUAGCUCACUGAAGUUGCAGUCAGGUUGAUAUGUUCUCGAUGGAAAUCGUGGAGGUAAUUUGACUCUCAGGCUAUAUUAUUUGAACAUUUCCAUCCUAUUUUUCAAAUGCCAUAUCCAAAAAUUACUUACCUUUAUUUGUUUUUUAAUUAUUGUUUUAGUAGUUGUAUUGCAUUUACCCUAUAUAUUGACUGUUAAAUGACAUCCUGAUGUUUCAUAUAUUUAGUACUGAUCAAUGCUAGAGAAAUUGAACAGCUGAACCUUUUAAAAUAGCACCAACAGGACUAUAAGAAACUUGAAACUGCAUAAGAAACCGAACCAAAAAUGCAGACUUUUGUUUCAUGUGAUACAAUGGUCUGUUUUGUAUGAUAAAAUGGUUUCGUUUUGUCGGAAAAAAGAGCUCCCAGAUCGAUUGAUUAUAUUUCCAUCUAAAUUUGGAUAAAAUUGAAACUGCACAAACCCGUAGCACAAAGAUGACAUGAUGGUGGCAACCAUAUUAGUUAACAUUCUGUAGGAUGAGGAGGAAGAAGUUAUAGUUCUAGCAAUUAUCAUUUUUUAAGGUCUACCACACCCAUGAGAUAUAUAAAUGUUGAGCCAAUGUCAGAGGUUUGACCAAAGGGGAAGGAAAUUGAUGAAAAUGGAUAUGCGGACGAUGAAAUUUUUAACGAUGACAAGGUAUAACAAAUGGAGGUGAUCAUAAUUAAAUACAAAAAUAUGUCUAUGAAGAGAAUAACUGAGAUGGAAUAGAACUAGUUCACAUACAGACAACCAUAAAAAC
Long non-coding RNA from Musa acuminata AAA Group (dessert banana), 1312 nucleotides. RefSeq lists it as uncharacterized. The record is from RefSeq and is a predicted model, not a curated record. The transcript is spliced from 3 exons. NCBI's taxonomy places the organism in Eukaryota, Viridiplantae, Streptophyta, Magnoliopsida, Zingiberales, Musaceae.